CUGUAAAUAAGUUCGGUUCGCAAAAAAAAAAAUCAAACAACUAAAAAAAUCCUCCGAGUGUUGACAUAUUUAAUUUAGCAAUUUUACGCAACUCAACGAAAGCAGCUGCUACGCUACGGUCGCGAAGAGAAAGAGACAGAGAUAGAGAGAAAAGGCAAGAGAAGGAGAAGUGGAGAAGAGAAAAGAGGCGCGUUGGCAAGCAAAAAAAAUCAAAGUCUGUAAAAAAAUUAGUUGAAAAUUCUAUAAAUAGCUCAAAAUGACGCGCUUGAAACAUUUCUAAAAAAGUUCAUUAAACAUAGGAAGUCUUCGUAUUUUUUUAGUGCCAAAGCAACGCCACAACAACGCAUCAGCGAAAACCAAUAAAAGUGCAUAAUAAAAAGUAUUAAUAUUUAUUGUAUAAAAAGAGCUUUGUUCUUCCAUUAAUAAACAGUUUUCCCAUAAAUAAGUGCAAACAAUUGCAAUUUGCCACCAUGUCGCGUACAAGUAGUUUGUUUUUCAAUUCAUCGGUGAGUUUAGAGACUAAAAAGUGUAAUUGUUGAAAAGAAACAACAACAGCA
Molecule: long non-coding RNA, 557 nt
Organism: Drosophila guanche
Lineage: Eukaryota; Metazoa; Arthropoda; Insecta; Diptera; Drosophilidae
Exons: 2
Source: RefSeq, a predicted model, not a curated record